RNAcentral lists this transfer RNA (73 nucleotides) under Corynebacterium sp. RNAcentral's name for it is "tRNA-Thr". It matches the Rfam family "tRNA". Rfam says of the family: Transfer RNA (tRNA) molecules are approximately 80 nucleotides in length. Their secondary structure includes four short double-helical elements and three loops (D, anti-codon, and T loops). Lineage: Bacteria; Bacillati; Actinomycetota; Actinomycetes; Mycobacteriales; Corynebacteriaceae. The record is from RNAcentral.
GCCGGAGUGGCGCAAUCGGUAGCGCAUCCGCCUUGUAAGCGGCAGGUUGCGGGUUCAAGUCCCGUCUCCGGCU